AAGGAUCUCAGUUGCAAACAUGCCCUU
Molecule: non-coding RNA, 27 nt
Filed under: Rattus norvegicus (Norway rat)
Lineage: Eukaryota; Metazoa; Chordata; Mammalia; Rodentia; Muridae
Source: RNAcentral